RNAcentral lists this ribosomal RNA (451 nucleotides) under uncultured bacterium. RNAcentral describes it as "partial 16S ribosomal RNA". It matches the Rfam family "Bacterial small subunit ribosomal RNA", at positions 28 to 523 of the family's 1533-position model. The record is from RNAcentral.
GAUGAACGCUGGCGGUAUGCCUAACACAUGCAAGUCGAACGAGCUCUUCGGAGCUAGUGGCGGGCGGGUGAGUAACGCGUGAGAAUCUGCCUUCAGGAUGGGGACAACAGUUGGAAACGAUUGCUAAAACCCAAUGUGCCGCAAGGUGAAAUAUUAAUAGCCUGAAGAGGAGCUCGCGUCCGAUUAGUUAGUUGGUGGGGUAAAGGCCUACCAAGGCAGCGAUCGGUAGCUGGUCUGAGAGGAUGAGCAGCCACACUGGGACUGAGACACGGCCCAGACUCCUACGGGAGGCAGCAGUGGGGAAUUUUCCGCAAUGGGCGAAAGCCUGGCGGAGCAAUACCGCGUGAGGGAGGAAGGUUUUUGGAUUGUAAACCUCUUUUGUUAAGGAAGAAGAAAGUGACGGUACUUAACGAAUAAGCAUCGGCUAACUCCGUGCCAGCCGCCGCGGUAA